UUCGGUGGCAAUAGCGAGGAGGUCACACCCGAUCCCGUUCCGAUCUCGGAAGUUAAGUUCCUCAGCGCCGAUGGUACUGCCAGGGUGACCUGGUGGGAGAGUAGGUCGCCGCCGAAU
Molecule: ribosomal RNA, 117 nt
Filed under: Desulfobulbaceae bacterium
Lineage: Bacteria; Pseudomonadati; Thermodesulfobacteriota; Desulfobulbia; Desulfobulbales; Desulfobulbaceae
Source: RNAcentral